CGAGCGGAUCGUGCCACACAAAUCGCACCCCCGUGGGCACGGCGCAAGGAGUUGGUGCUUUCUUUAUCGCCUUCUUUUUUUUCCCUUUCCCACGUAACUUUGUUCAGUGCUUGCCACCGCUGCCGCUCGCAAAGGUGUCGUGGUGCGAUAAAAACCCAGGGCGUUUAGAGGCGUGGAAUCAGCGAGGUUGGGGGAGUCCAAGCAUCCACCUGGUGCUGCCCCUCUAGCCCCUAAACCGCAUCUCCCAGUGCCUUUAAACACCUCCAGGAUGGUGAUUCCACCACCAGCCCAUUCCCAUGCCUGACCAUCAGAACAGAGACAUUUUUAUUUUCUACUAUCUAAUCUGAAUCUCCCCUGUCUUGCUUUAAGAGCAUGUCCUCCUGUCCUCUCACUGGCAGCAGAGACCUCCCUACAGCCUCCUCUGUGUGAGUUUUACACAGCGAUGAAGCCCCCCUGAGCCUCCUCUUCUGCAGACGAAGCUAACCCAGCUCCCGCAGCCACUCCUCACAAGACCUUUUCUAGUCCAUUUCCAGUUAAAGGGUUCAGAACAUCACAUUAAUUAAAGGGAACAGUCAGCUCCGCAGCCGGGCAGCCCAGCAGGGGAACCGACAGUGCUGAGGGGAGAAAUCACUGCGUGCCUUGCAUGAAGUCCAUCUUCCCAUGCAGCAAACUGGCAGUUCCGGAGCCCUUCGGAACCAGCUGAGGAGGGAGCAAGGGACAACUACAAUGUAAACAUGGGAAAAAAGGACUUUGUCAAAGCCAGGUCCAGGUUUUGGUAUGUCUGUGCUCAGGAUCCCCAGUUACCAGCUCCACCCUGCAGCAAAGCACAGCAAUGGGACUUGGAAAGAGCAGCUGAAGUCUGGGGCAUAAAGUGCUCUCUGGGAGGUCAGAGAUGCUUCUUCAGCCUCUGUCCUGUCCAGCUCAGAGCAAGGUUUGGCAACAACUUGGUCAAAGCUUCCCUUUGUGCCUCCUGUGGGAGCUGUUUCAAUUUAGCCCCUUAACUGCAGUUUUCAAAGGAGCAUUGGGGACAUGAAGGAACUGAGUUUAAAUUCUCUCACCACACCAGGCAAAAGAGAUUUGGGCAGAGUUUUCCCCACUCAGAGUGCCUGAACAGUGGGUUUGGUGUUCCUUGCUGUGAUUCUGAGUACUCCUGAGCUCACCAAGCGCUGUUUUCAUGGCCACCAGCCUCACUGUGUGAGCUGGAGACACAAACUCCUCCUUUUCCUCUCUGCUCUGCUCACACACUCCAAGCACAGCUUUCUUGGGAGGCUGAGGUCACCAGGGCACACAGUCUGUCAUCACACUGGGAAGCAGGACACAGGCUGGCUCUCCUUGUGACCAACAACGUGGUUUUAACCCACAUCUCUGGAGCCAGCAGGACACUCCCCUUCUGCCAGUCAGCUCGUAACACCUCAGACCUACCAGGCUAGUUUUACUUUCUUCUCUGCACUUCUUCCCUUUUGAAGGCACUAUAAACACAAGUGAAGCACUUUGAGGACAGGGAAGGGAGGGCAGAUGAGCAGCCAGCAGCAGCAGCGUGAAUGGGGUGACAGUCUUUGCAUAAGUUGUAACCCAGAGCAGAGGAAACAUGCCUUUCUCAGAAGGAGUGGCUUCAAUUUCAUGCAGAUUUCUGACUCCUACAGCUAGUUAUGAUCCAUAGGAAUGUUCAGAAAGAGGCUUCUUUUUCCUUCUUUUGAUCCUUUUCAUCCCUCCUACGAAGCCCUUUGUUAUUUUACAGCCUGGACCACAAGUUUCUCACACAGAGCAAGAAAGAGUCCAAAAUAAAUUGAAAGAUGAAAUUAAAUGGGCUGCACUUGUAAUGCAAAUGUGAAGGUGACCAAACUCUUUUACCCAAUCCAACAUAAAGAAGUUUCAAAUUCUGAUUGGGGAUUUUUUCCUGUUUUGACAUUAAAACACACUUUCUUUCCAAUUA
Passer domesticus (house sparrow) is the source of this 1933-nucleotide long non-coding RNA. RefSeq lists it as uncharacterized. NCBI's taxonomy places the organism in Eukaryota, Metazoa, Chordata, Aves, Passeriformes, Passeridae. The record is from RefSeq and is a predicted model, not a curated record. The transcript is spliced from 2 exons.